This 757-nucleotide ribosomal RNA is filed under the name Saxomyces americanus. RNAcentral's name for it is "SSU rRNA". It matches the Rfam family "Eukaryotic small subunit ribosomal RNA", at positions 42 to 809 of the family's 1831-position model. Lineage: Eukaryota; Fungi; Ascomycota; Dothideomycetes. The record is from RNAcentral.
GAUUAAGCCAUGCAUGUCCAAGUAUAAGCAAUCUAUACGGUGAAACUGCGAAUGGCUCAUUAAAUCAGUUAUCGUUUAUUUGAUAGUACCUUACUACAUGGAUAACCGUGGUAAUUCUAGAGCUAAUACAUGCUAAAAACCCCGACUUCGGAAGGGGUGUAUUUAUUAGAUAAAAAACCAGCGCCCUUCGGGGCUCCUUGGUGAUUCAUGAUAACUCAACGAAUCGCAUGGCCUUGCGCCGGCGAUGGUUCAUUCAAAUUUCUGCCCUAUCAACUUUCGAUGGUAGGAUAGUGGCCUACCAUGGUAUCAACGGGUAACGGGGAAUUAGGGUUCUAUUCCGGAGAGGGAGCCUGAGAAACGGCUACCACAUCCAAGGAAGGCAGCAGGCGCGCAAAUUACCCAAUCCCGACACGGGGAGGUAGUGACAAUAAAUACUGAUACAGGGCUCUUUUGGGUCUUGUAAUUGGAAUGAGUACAAUUUAAAUCCCUUAACGAGGAACAAUUGGAGGGCAAGUCUGGUGCCAGCAGCCGCGGUAAUUCCAGCUCCAAUAGCGUAUAUUAAAGUUGUUGCAGUUAAAAAGCUCGUAGUUGAACCUUGGGCCUGGCUGGCCGGUCCGCCUCACCGCGUGUACUGGUCCGGCCGGGCCUUUCCUUCUGGGGAGCCGCAUGCCCUUCACUGGGCGUGUCGGGGAACCAGGACUUUUACUUUGAAAAAAUUAGAGUGUUCAAAGCAGGCCUUUGCUCGAAUACAUUAGCA